UACGAAGGGGGCUAGCGUUGCUCGGAAUCACUGGGCGUAAAGGGUGCGUAGGCGGGUCUUUAAGUCAGGGGUGAAAUCCUGGAGCUCAACUCCAGAACUGCCUUUGAUACUGAAGAUCUUGAGUGCGGGAGAGGUGAGUGGAACUGCGAGUGUAGAGGUGAAAUUCGUAGAUAUUCGCAAGAACACCAGUGGCGAAGGCGGCUCACUGGCCCGAUACUGACGCUGAGGCACGAAAGCGUGGGGAGCAAACGGG
This 253-nucleotide ribosomal RNA is filed under the name uncultured bacterium. RNAcentral describes it as "partial 16S ribosomal RNA". It matches the Rfam family "Bacterial small subunit ribosomal RNA", at positions 524 to 776 of the family's 1533-position model. The record is from RNAcentral.